CUCCGUGGGCGGGGUUUCAGUUACCUGAACCAAGCAUUGCUCACGCUGAUCCCAAAGUGCUCCGAUGCAGCCGGGCUGGGCGAUUAUAGGCCCAUCAGCCUAAUCCACCUCGUCGCCAAGAUUUUCGCAAAGGUGUUGUCCCUCCGCCUAGCACCCAAACUGAACGAGCUGGUCAGCCCCAUUCAGAACGCAUUCAUCCCGGGACGAAGCCUACACGACAAUUUCGUGCUCGUCCGACAAUCGGCCCGUCUUCUCCACCAGCUGGGCGCCCCGCGCAUUCUCCUGAAGCUCGACCUCGCGCGGGCGUUUGACUCCAGGCAAUAA
This 324-nucleotide ribosomal RNA is filed under the name Triticum aestivum (bread wheat). RNAcentral describes it as "partial small subunit ribosomal RNA". The record is from RNAcentral. Lineage: Eukaryota; Viridiplantae; Streptophyta; Magnoliopsida; Poales; Poaceae.